Molecule: non-coding RNA, 30 nt
Filed under: Mus musculus (house mouse)
Lineage: Eukaryota; Metazoa; Chordata; Mammalia; Rodentia; Muridae
Source: RNAcentral
UUCUUAGUCAUUUUUCUGAGUCAUGCUCUG